UGAGGAAUAUUGGUCAAUGGGCGGGAGCCUGAACCAGCCAAGCCGCGUGAGGGAGGAAGGCCCUAUGGGUCGUAAACCUCUUUUGUCAGGGAACAAAAGCGAGUAUGUAUACUAGUCUGAGUGUACCUGAAGAAAAAGCAUCGGCUAACUCCGUGCCAGCAGCCGCGGUAAUACGGAGGAUGCGAGCGUUAUCCGGAUUUAUUGGGUUUAAAGGGUGCGUAGCGGCGGUGCAAGUCAGCGGUAAAAGCCCGGGGCUCAACCCCGGCGAGCCGUUGAAACUGCAGUGCUAGAGAAGGCGAGAGGUACGCGGAAUGCGCAGUGUAGCGGUGAAAUGCUUAGAUAUUGCGCAGAACUCCGAUUGCGAAGGCAGCGUACUGGCGCCUGACUGACGCUGAGGCACGAAACGCGUGGGGAUCGAACAGGAUUAGAUACC
RNAcentral lists this ribosomal RNA (433 nucleotides) under uncultured bacterium. Its description in RNAcentral is "bacterial SSU rRNA". It matches the Rfam family "Bacterial small subunit ribosomal RNA", at positions 355 to 786 of the family's 1533-position model. The record is from RNAcentral.